CCCUUAGAUGUUCUGGGCUGCACGCGCGCUACACUGAUGCGCUCAACGAGUUUACGAACUUGCCCGGAAGGGUUGGUUAAUCUUUUUAAAACGCAUCGUGAUGGGGAUAGAUUAUUGCAAUUAUUAAUCUUCAACGAGGAAUUCCUAGUAAGCGCGAGUCAUCAGCUCGCACUGAUUACGUCCCUGCCCUUUGUACACACCGCCCGUCGCUACUACCGAUUGAACGUUUUAGUGAGGUACUCGGACUGAGCCUCAGAAGAUUCACGUCUUUUGUGCUGCUCGGGAAGAUUCCCAAACUUGAGCGUUUAGAGGAAGUAAAAGUCGUAACA
RNAcentral lists this ribosomal RNA (329 nucleotides) under uncultured eukaryote. RNAcentral's name for it is "partial 18S ribosomal RNA". It matches the Rfam family "Eukaryotic small subunit ribosomal RNA", at positions 1470 to 1796 of the family's 1831-position model. The record is from RNAcentral.